GUGUAGCGGUGAAAUGCUUAGAUAUCGUCAAGAACACCGAUAGCGAAGGCAGCUUACUAGGCUGUAACUGACGCUGAUGCACGAAAGCGUGGGGAUCGAACAGGAUUAGAUACCCUGGUAGUCCACGCCGUAAACGAUGAUAACUCGCUGUUGGCGAUACACAGUCAGCGGCUUAGCGAAAGCGUUAAGUUAUCCACCUGGGGAGUACGCUCGCAAGAGUGAAACUCAAAGGAAUUGACGGGGGCCCGCACAAGCGGAGGAACAUGUGGUUUAAUUCGAUGAUACGCGAGGCACCUUACCUGGGCUUAAAUGUGCCCUGACCGCUGGAGAAAUCUGGCUUUCCGCAAGGACAGGGUACAAGGUGCUGCAUGGUUGUCGUCAGCUCGUGCCGUGAGGUGUCGGGUUAAGUCCCAUAACGAGCGCAACCCCUACUGCCAGUUGCUAACAGGUCAAGCUGAGGACUCUGGCGGGACUGCCACCGUAAGGUGCGAGGAAGGCGGGGAUGACGUCAAAUCAGCACGGCCCUUAUGUCCAGGGCUACACACGUGUUACAAUGGCCGAUACAAAGGGCAAGCUACCGGGGCGACCGGAUGCCAAUCCCAAAAAAGUCGGUCUCAAGUUCGGAUCGGAGUCUGCAACCCGACU
RNAcentral lists this ribosomal RNA (645 nucleotides) under uncultured bacterium. Its description in RNAcentral is "bacterial SSU rRNA". It matches the Rfam family "Bacterial small subunit ribosomal RNA", at positions 673 to 1317 of the family's 1533-position model. The record is from RNAcentral.